RNAcentral lists this ribosomal RNA (252 nucleotides) under uncultured bacterium. RNAcentral's name for it is "partial 16S ribosomal RNA". It matches the Rfam family "Bacterial small subunit ribosomal RNA", at positions 57 to 305 of the family's 1533-position model. The record is from RNAcentral.
GCAAGUCGAACGGAAACGAUGAAGAGCUUGCUCUUCAGGCGUCGAGUGGCGGACGGGUGAGUAAUACAUAGGAAUCUGCCCAGUAGCGGGGGACAACUUGGGGAAACUCAAGCUAAUACCGCAUACGCCCUACGGGGGAAAGCAGGGGAUCUUCGGACCUUGCACUAUUGGAUGAGCCUAUGUCGGAUUAGCUUGUUGGUGGGGUAAUAGCCUACCAAGGCAACGAUCUGUAGCUGGUCUGAGAGGACGAUC